RNAcentral lists this unclassified non-coding RNA (308 nucleotides) under air metagenome. RNAcentral describes it as "partial contains small subunit ribosomal RNA, internal transcribed spacer 1, and 5.8S ribosomal RNA". The stretch from base 1 to 46 matches the Rfam family "Eukaryotic small subunit ribosomal RNA", at positions 1786 to 1831 of the family's 1831-position model. The record is from RNAcentral.
AAGUCGUAACAAGGUUUCCGUAGGUGAACCUGCGGAAGGAUCAUUAAAAUUUUAGAGCCCACGGGGGCAUGCUCUCCGAAAGGACAGCGAGUAGAUGUCUGGUUCUACUCGCUGGCAGCAGAUGGGGCGCCCCAAGCCUCUGAUGCUGGUCGAGCUGCCACCUGAACCUCACCCUUGCUUUUUGCGUACCUAUUGUUUCCUCGGCAGGCUUGCCUGCCAGUAGGACCUAUUUCAAUCCUUUGUAGUUGCAGUCAGCGUCAGAAAUAACAUAAUUGUUACAACUUUCAACAACGGAUCUCUUGGUUCUG